AAGCCUGAUCCAGCAAUGCCGCGUGUGUGAAGAAGGCCUUCGGGUUGUAAAGCACUUUCAGUGGGGAGGAUAAUGACGUUACCCACAGAAGAAGCACCGGCUAACUCUGUGCCAGCAGCCGCGGUAAUA
Molecule: ribosomal RNA, 129 nt
Filed under: uncultured bacterium
Lineage: Bacteria
Description: partial 16S ribosomal RNA
Rfam family: Bacterial small subunit ribosomal RNA
Source: RNAcentral